UUCCGGUUGAUCCUGCCGGAGGCGACCGCUUUUGGAGUUCGAUUAAGCCAUGCGAGUCUAAGGGGUACUUGUACCCCUGGCAUAAUGCUCAGUAACACGUGGAUAAUCUACCCUUAGGUGGGGCAUAAACCCGGGAAACUGGGGCUAAUACCCCAUAGAUACAGAAGGCUGGAACGCCUCUGUAUUCAAAGCUCCGGCGCCUAAGGAUGAGUCUGCGACCUAUCAGGUAGUAGUCAGGGUCACGACCUGACUAGCCAACGACGGGUACGGGGUGUGAGAGCACUUGCCCGGAGAUGGUUUCUGAGACACGAAACCAGGCCCUACGGGGCGCAGCAGGCGCGAAAACUUCGCAAUGCGGGAAACCGUGACGAGGGAACUCCAAGUGUCUAUGCAAUGCAUAGACUGUUUUUCAGCCUAAAUAGCUGUUAGAGUAAGGGGUGGGUAAGACCGGUGCCAGCCGCCGCGGUAACACCGGCACCUCGAGUGGUAGCCACUAUUAUUGGGCCUAAAGCGUUCGUAGCCGGUUUAGUAAAUUCUUGGGUAAAUCGUACAGCUUAACUGUGCGGAUUCCGGGGACACUACUAGACUUGAGACCGGGAGAGAUUAGAGGUACUUGCAGGGGAGCGGUGAAAUGUUGUAAUCCUGCAGGGACCACCAGUGGCGAAGGCGUCUAAUCAUAACGGCUCUGACGGUGAGGAACGAAACCCUGGGGCGCAAACGGGAUUAGAUACCCCGGUAGUCCAGGGCGUAAACGCUGCUGACUUGGUGUUGGAGAUCCUACGAGGGUGUCCAGUGCUGGCGCGAAGGUAUUAAGUCAGCCGCCUGGGGAGUACGGUCGCAAGACUGAAACUUAAAGGAAUUGGCGGGGGAGCACUGCAACGUGUGGAGCGUGCGGUUUAAUUGGAUCAACGCCGGA
RNAcentral lists this ribosomal RNA (916 nucleotides) under uncultured archaeon. Its description in RNAcentral is "bacterial SSU rRNA". It matches the Rfam family "Archaeal small subunit ribosomal RNA", at positions 1 to 922 of the family's 1478-position model. The record is from RNAcentral.